Strigops habroptila (Kakapo) is the source of this 1790-nucleotide long non-coding RNA. Lineage: Eukaryota; Metazoa; Chordata; Aves; Psittaciformes; Psittacidae. The record is from Ensembl.
UUUCUUAUUUUUCUACUAUGUGCAUCCCAAAGAUGGAUUGAGAUUUGAUUAACACAUAUCAACAUAGCUUGUAGUCUCUUGUCUUCUCCUUUAAGGGUUAAUUUUGCUGUACAGACUCUUACUUGGUAGUAUAACUGGCGAAGUAAAAACUUCUCUCUGUUUAUCUUAGAAGAGGUCCUUUGAAGAACUGCAUGAGGAUCAUGCUCAUCUGUGUCAACUUUUAUCUAUCCGGGUGGCUCUUUCAUCUUCCUAUCUUCCUUUGUGGAGCAUUCAGUUCUGAACAUUCCUCAUAAAGGAAGCAAAUGCCUCCUGCUUUCAGUAUGACUCUGCAUUAACUUGCUUGUUUUACUUCUUAUAGAGGCAAUUACUUCAGAUUUAUUUGUUACUCUUUAAUUCAUAACUGUAAAUUUUGUGUCAUGGGUACAUUAAUAGCAACAUUAUAGCAUGUUUUGAUACUGUCCUGAAAGUGUGCAAUAAGACAGGUAUGUAUUUGUAAUAAAAAAAAUGGAUUUGAUUUUCAGAGUCAGAUAUGAUGGGAUUCAUGAUAUCCAGUAAAAACCUAGCUUGUUUUCAAUGUGUGAAACAGACUUAUGGAGUUGUUUCCUACUUGUUUGUCUGAAAUUCUCAUUGGAUUCUGGAGGGAAUAUCUUCAGGAUAUUAUACUACACAUAGACUAGAUUUAAAGCUUAAAGGGAUGCCUUAAUUAGUUUUAAGCUCCCACAUGACUUUAUUGCAGGAUUACAGGUCUGAGUGCUCCUGUAUUUUUUUGAUAACUGUUAUUUACAUCAGCAUGGUGCUCACACAGAACCACAGGCACAGCUUAAAAGACCCAGAUAAGAAGUUGCCAGGAACUCCUCCUCCAGCAUAUGCCCUCUUUUUAUACCCAGUAAUCUUUCACCAGCUUUUUACACAUAUAUCUUUUGCACAUUUCUUCCCUCACACUGAUAACUCUCUCCCCCUGACAACUUUCAUGUUCCCUCCUCCUUCAUUUUUCUCUUUUAAGAUAUUUCUUUUUUCCUGUCCCUCUCCCUCAACCCCCCCCCGUUGUCUGCUCAGCUCAGGAGGGAGAUCCAAGUUGCCUCCUCACCUGGUUCCUUUUUGUCAUCUGUUUUUCCUGUCUCCCCACAAGAAGAAAGGGAUCUGCAGGCUUAGUAAUUGCUGUCCACUGGAACCAGUAAAGCACAGUCCGCUGACAACUGGAGUGAGUAAGUCAGCCUGGAGAGAAAGCAAACACUAGUGGCUGAUAACAGCAUAGAAGCUGUUGCUUUUGUUUACACAAACAUUUUAAAUAAACUGCUGGUCACAGUGGCCAGGGAUCCAUAUCCCCUUUCUGAACCCCAGAUGGGGAAUACAUUCCUUCCUUCCCUAGUACCUAGCAGAUUCUGAACCACAAAUGAUCUUUGGGUGUCUGCAUUUCUGGAUGCCUCAUGUAGGGUGAGUUAAGAAGGAGCUGAUCUUCAGAAGCUAACUGCCAGUCCUGACACACUAGUUUUAGUAGUGCACCUCAAAUUUGAAUUGUAACACAUCACUGAUCACUUUUGCACAUGAAAAAAACCCUGCAGCUUGCUAGCAGUUACUUUAGAUACACAUAAACAGGAAAGGAUCCUAAAUGACCUAUGAGAAGCCACAAGUACAAUUACUUUUUGCUCCCGCUAAGAGAAAAACAGUCACAAGCAAACCUUUCUAGCCUUUUUUAGGUAACUGUUUGUCCUUUGCACGCUAAAGUAAAUUAGCUGUAUAUGUAAUGCAGAUUUCUACAUAUAAAUUUAGUUGUACCCCUGUGUUCUAUC